This 1694-nucleotide long non-coding RNA is filed under the name Homo sapiens (human). RNAcentral's name for it is "HSALNT0303072". Lineage: Eukaryota; Metazoa; Chordata; Mammalia; Primates; Hominidae. The record is from RNAcentral.
GGACGGGGUUGGGGGGAAUUACCAUUAGCAGUUGAAGUGGUAGGAAAUUUUUACAUAGGAGAGUAUGGUGAUCAUAUUUGCAUUUUAGAAAAUAAUGGAUAGCAGUUUGUUAGGGGAACAAAGGACAGAGACAGGGAGACUAUUUAAAACAUUAAUAAAAAAUACCAGUGACAGAUGAUGAGGCACCUACCUGAUGGGAAUGGAGAAGAGGAGAUGGAUUCAGAAACUACUUAGGAGAGGCAGGCAGUCCAAGGCUGAUGCCCAAAGAAGCCAUCAAGACCCGUGCUACUUCCAGCUCCUUCUGUCCUCAUAAUCAUAGAUGAUUGCUCCACAUCCAGCACCUAACACCAGUACUCAGUUAAAUUUUUUGCUGAAUAAAUCAAUGAAUGGAGAGGUAAAGAGGAACCAGAAGUUGGGGUUACAGAAGUCACUGAUGGAAGAGUUUCAAGAUAGUAGAAGUGGUCAGCCCUGUUAAGUGACAAGCCAAGGACUGAAGAAAGACUGGCAGAUUUGGCAAUCAGAUGAAGUGACCUGACCAAAGAGCAGCUUGUGUGAAGUAGUGAGGACAGGCGCUGGUCUGCGACUGGUUUAGGAGGAAAUGGAAAUGAAGAAGAAGAGAUAGGAAAGUGGAGAUUAUAUGAUGACAAGUAUCAAGAUAAAAAUGAACACAUUUGGCCUGCUACCUGAAUUUUUUAAAUCGGCUCACCAAAAAAUAUCAGGCUUAUUGAAAUAUUGGAAUAUCUGAUGAAGUUUCCUCUUAUCUUUGAGCUGUUUGGGUUUGGGUAAAAUUUCAAUGCUUAAAAUUCACGUCUACAACUAGCAGGCAGAACCUUAAAGUCCAGAACCAUUAAAGGGUUUAAUAAUGGUGAGGCAUAUGAUGAUGCUGAUGAUGAUAAUGUUUCUUUCUUUCUUUUGUGAUCUUAAUCACUGUGUGAUCUUAACUAGUUUGAAAUGAGAAUUUCAAUGGAGACAGUAGUGUAAAUUUACCAACAGAACAAUUACAGUCGUGACAAAACAAAAACUAUACAAGCAUAUUUUUGUUCAUUCUAUAAAUUUGUACUGAGUACUUUAUAUACACUAGGCAUUCUGACAGAUAUAAUUAUGUGGGUAUAAAAUUUAGUUUAUUUGAUAGUUGCUUUCCCCACCGCCUCCAGAAAUUCUUGAUUUAGUUGGUAAAGAAAAUCAGUUAAGCAAAUAAGUUCACUAUUUGUAGAAGUGUAGAUGGGUUAUGGUGGGGGCACAAAAUAAUAAAAUAAUGUAUUUAAAACUAUUUUCACAUCUGUGAAAAGCUCUAUACAUCUGUGGCAUUAAGACUAAAGAGAAUGGUAUCAAGUCAUAGCUGCUUUCUAGAAAACAUGCAUGAGACAUUUAGGACCUCUGCAUAUUACCACUGAGUUGUUUUUCUUUUAAGGGGCUACAAAGGAGUAUGUUCAGCAUGAUCUUAUUUUUAUUAAAAUUAUACUUUCUAUACAGAAAAAGACUAUAAAAAUACACACUUAAAACAUUAGCAGUGACCCACAGCUAGUAUCAUACUGAAUGGGGAAUAACUAAAAGCCUUUUCUCCAUGAUCUAGAACACAACAAAAAUGCCCAUUUUUACCACUAUUAUUCAACUUAGUACUGGAAGUUCUAGCUAGGGCAAUCAGACACGAGAAUGAAAUAAAAUGCAUCCAAAUUUGAAAGGAAGAAGUGAAA